GCCAGCGUAGCUCAACGGUAGAGCACCGCUUUUGUAAAGCGGCGGUUGUGGGUUCGAUUCCCUCCGCUGGCU
This 72-nucleotide transfer RNA is filed under the name Planctomycetota bacterium. Its description in RNAcentral is "Planctomycetes bacterium (anaerobic digester metagenome) tRNA-Thr". It matches the Rfam family "tRNA". Rfam says of the family: Transfer RNA (tRNA) molecules are approximately 80 nucleotides in length. Lineage: Bacteria; Pseudomonadati; Planctomycetota. The record is from RNAcentral.